This is a long non-coding RNA of Trachemys scripta elegans, 2998 nucleotides long. RefSeq lists it as uncharacterized. NCBI's taxonomy places the organism in Eukaryota, Metazoa, Chordata, Testudines, Emydidae. The transcript has 2 exons. The record is from RefSeq and is a predicted model, not a curated record.
AUCACCGUUCCAGUGGCAUUUAAAUUCCGAGCGCUCCUCCAUCAAGGUGACGCGGAGCCACCACCACCUCCUCUCGCCCCCCCCCCGUCCCCCCUCCCCCUUAGCCAGUGGAUUGGGGCUUCAGAGCCGGGGCCAGAGAGACAGUGUGAGCCCAGGCGCUCAGCCUGCAGCAGCUGACGCGGAGGCGCCUCUGCAGGGGGGUGGAGGGGGGGGUGCUCCUGCUGCAUGGAUUACAGGGCUCGGAGACCCAGCUGGAGGAACCCAGCCUGGCGAACAGUGUGUGGAUUUAUGCAGAUGCACUUCAACUUUGGCAGAUUUUGCAUUGUCACCAUGCCCGAUUGAUUGUUGUUUGUAUUUUAAAAUAUAAAGGGCUAUUUCCGCCUUGACUCUCCAGCCCCCUCCCUCCAGCCACCCACACAUACUAAGUGCAACAUCCUCUUCCAAGUGAUAAGCCACCAAAAGUGUCCGAGGCUCCUAUUAGGCCACCCAUGUAUCCAUUUCACCUCCACAGCCCCCCACUGACGCCACCAAAAAACGAAUAUAUGUUCCCCCGUCCCAAGUGUAUCCAUAAAAAGAUUUGUCCUUCUAUUUUACAGUUUACAAACAUGCCUAGAUAACAGCCGUUUGAAAACUUUCGAUUUCUUAAAAUCCGUGGGAGUGGGAAGUGCAGCAAGCAUAUAUGGAACGAUGCUCAACCUUUUUUGGCUGCAAUAUUGUCUUAUUUAAUUCUUGUCAAUCAGUUGUGAUAAGUGCUGUAUAAAUCAGGUGCAAACACAGGCUGGUGUAUCUGUUUACUAUAAAAGAGAUGGCUUUUUCCAGGGUGUUUUUUUUCACUACUUUAACGAUUAACAAAACUGUUUAGUAUACCGUAUAUGUAUAAUUUAUUUAUAAACAUAGUUGAUGUUAUACCAUCACAUUAAAAGAACAGAAUUGUUUACUAAAAGAACAGCAAACUUCUCUCUAUUUAAAAUCAACAUAUCUGCAAAUCUAUCUGCACAUAGAAUUCCUCUAUAUAUAUUUACCCGUAAUUUUCGCCAAAUAACAGCUCCUCUGCUUCCUUUAAAUUGUUUCCCUUCAUUUCUGUACUAUUGUUUUGAAGAAAUCCGCGUCUUUUGUUACAUUCUCUCUCCUCUAAUGCCUCGAAUUCUGCUGCCAUUACAGAGCCUCAGUGCAACAUAAUGGGAAGGGGACACAUCACGGGUAAAUACCUCUUCAUCCCCCCAACGAGAAAAGUUGCCAUCGGACACGGUCGCAAAUGCACACAAAAUUCAGAGCUGUGCUAUUUUAAAAGUCAAACCUUUCUGCUAGCCCCCACCCUGCCUCCUUUGUUGCUUCGGUCCAUCGUGGCUUGCAGAAAGUCGAGUUUGCAUCUCCAGCAAUUCAAGCCUUUGAAGCAUUUCUGCUGCCUGAUGCACAUUCUUGGGACAUUCCCCAAAUAAUACGCUAUGUGUCUCCCCCCCCCACACACACACACACAAGAUUUAGAGGUUACAAUGAGCUUCUUAGAGAAAUUCUAUCUCAGAUAGAUUCGCAGAUAUUGAUUUUAAAUAUAUCCUGAGAGACGUUUACUGGUCUUUUACUAAACAAUUCUGUUCAUUUAAGAUGCUAUGACAUCACUCUGUAUAUAUAUCAUAUAUAAAUAUCUAAAAGCCAAUCAUAUAUUAACAAUUAAAUCGCAUUGGAACCCUGUAACAUGCGUUAAAAUACUCGACGAAACUGUCCUCUGACCAAAGCGAAAGUGCUGAAGCAGCGAAAGAAAAGAAGCAGGGCCGAGGUUUUUGCGGCAUCCGCAGCUUAGCCAAUCUGUUGUUUUAAACGAGCAAUAAAAAUGAAUUAUGACUAAACGCCUUCGAACUUAAUGGUUUUAGACGGGGAUCCCCGGCUUCGGCAAAUGCGUAAGAGGAUUUUUAUUUGUGCAUGUGUUCCUGCCAUUGAUCUCUUUGAUGACAUUCUCAUUCAUAGAAAGAGUGUGAUUUAUGAGUUUAGGAAGAAUUGCAUCCAACCCCUUCCAGCUAUUGCCCACGCAUCUCAGCUCCACAACGUGUUGCGGAUCAGAGAAACAACACACCUCAAAUGAAAUGGAAACAAACAUACUUGAGACAAAUGAAUCCAUUCACUGUGUUUCAGAAAUAUUCCGGAAUACUCAAAAUCAAGGGUCGACGGAUAUGUGGGCAGCAAAACUGCCUGCUAGCAUCUGUUGCUUGGUUUUAGAAGAAUAAAAAACGCUCACCUUCUGAACUGGGUGAUUAAUAUCGAUAAUAUUCUUACCAAAUUAGCUGGAAUUUUUAAUGUGCUUCUGCUGUAAUUGAGGAAGUAACACAUUUUGGACAGUGGGCCGCUGAACUGGCUCCAUUGAAAUUUAAACAUGUUAACCAUUAGCUUCCAGUUUUAAUGAUUAACCCUUGGCAUCGCAAACCGGUUUAAAACGAAAGGGAUUUUUUUGUUAUGGGACCCCCGCAGAAAUCUCUGAAAGAAUGGCUCUAAGAACUUAAGUCCGUCCUAAAUGUAUUUUUACACAUAAUAACAUUUUUUUUAUUUCCUCUCUUUUUUAGAUUUAUUUUCUUGGGACCUUUCAGCACAUGGGAGCUAAUCCAAGGCGUACUUUGUUAGCAUUUGUAUUUUUAAAGAAGUGUUUCAGAAAACGACUUGCUGGACACCUAAGCGUUGAGUUAUAGAAAAAUACGAUGCUUGAAAUGAGUCAGUUUCUAUAGCAGGCACGUUCCCCAUUUACAAUAGAUUCUAUUUUGUCUGUAACCGCAAAGCUGCAUAUAUAUGGUGUUUGUCACAGUUUAGAAAAUGCAAGACUUGUAUUCACACAUAGAAUAACGUUUGAUGUGUACAUUAAAAGGAAGAAAUCUUUAUGUGAACUCUGUGGGUGUUUUAGUUAUAUUUGUUUGUGAGAAUCAUCGGGUACUUUGAUUUGACUUAUGAGAACCUUUGCAAUAAAGAAUUUAAAUGUGAUUUUUUUCUCUCUAAUAAAUAUAUUAAAUUACCAAAA